CACAAUUUAUCCCUUAUAUUAAGCGAUUACCAUAGUUAUACAGAAAAAAUUCUAAUGUCCGUUUUGCCCCUACGCACCUAACCAUACAGUGCAUCCCUAGCUGACAAUACUACUCUGCUUUUCAUACAACAUCGUCUCCCGAAACACACCAUUGUUGUGUCAGGAGGCGGGAUUAAUCGAAGAGACACUAAUGAAUCUACAUCUCUGUAGCCAAAGGGCGGUGAUGUAUAAUCUCCUGAAGCAGUCAUAUACUCAGGGAAGUCAUAUGUCAACAGCACCAGCUCUUGCCUCAAAUUUAAAACCGUAAAUAAGUGGGGUUUCUUUACGCAACAUUGGAGAUAGCGUCUAAGAUAUGGACACACAAACUG
Molecule: long non-coding RNA, 368 nt
Organism: Brassica oleracea var. oleracea
Lineage: Eukaryota; Viridiplantae; Streptophyta; Magnoliopsida; Brassicales; Brassicaceae
Exons: 3
Source: RefSeq, a predicted model, not a curated record